CCUACGGGAGGCAGCAGUGAGGAAUAUUGGUCAAUGGACGAGAGUCUGAACCAGCCAAGUAGCGUGAAGGAUGACUGCCCUAUGGGUUGUAAACUUCUUUUAUAUAGGAAUAAAAUGUUCCACGUGUGGGAUUUUGUAUGUACCAUAUGAAUAAGGAUCGGCUAACUCCGUGCCAGCAGCCGCGGUAAUACGGAGGAUCCGAGCGUUAUCCGGAUUUAUUGGGUUUAAAGGGAGCGUAGGGGGAUUGUUAAGUCAGUUGUGAAAGUUUGCGGCUCAACCGUAAAAUUGCAGUUGAAACUGGCAGUCUUGAGUACAGUAGAGGUGGGCGGAAUUCGUGGUGUAGCGGUGAAAUGCUUAGAUAUCACGAAGAACUCCGAUUGCGAAGGCAGUUCACUGGACUGCAACUGACACUGAGGCUCGAAAGUGUGGGUAUCAAACAGGAUUAGAUACCCGAGUAAUC
Molecule: ribosomal RNA, 460 nt
Filed under: uncultured bacterium
Lineage: Bacteria
Description: partial 16S ribosomal RNA
Rfam family: Bacterial small subunit ribosomal RNA
Source: RNAcentral